GGAUGCGAUCAUACCAGCAAUAACGCACCGGAUCCCAUCAGAACUCCGAAGUCAAGCGUGCUUGGGCGAGAGUAGUACUAGGAUGGGUGACCCCCUGGGAAGUCCUCGUGUUGCAUCCC
This 119-nucleotide ribosomal RNA is filed under the name Nicotiana attenuata. Lineage: Eukaryota; Viridiplantae; Streptophyta; Magnoliopsida; Solanales; Solanaceae. The record is from RNAcentral.